Passer montanus (Eurasian tree sparrow) is the source of this 1839-nucleotide long non-coding RNA. RefSeq lists it as uncharacterized. The record is from RefSeq and is a predicted model, not a curated record. Lineage: Eukaryota; Metazoa; Chordata; Aves; Passeriformes; Passeridae. The transcript has 3 exons.
GAUUAAAUAUAGAAAAUUGUUUAGGUGCUUGGAUUUAUAGCAAAGAUAUUUAGGCUCUAAUGGUCAAAGAAAUGUCACUGGGAAUUCAAUAUAUCUGUGUUCUUGCAGAUCUAGGCCACAGUCCCUGUCCCAGGGGGAUUUUAGUCCCACUAGAUACUUCUCUGCUAUCAGAAAUGAAGAACCAGCAUAAAUGAUGAUUGGAUUUUCCUUUGAUCCUUCCCCUGCUUGGCAUUCUCUUCCUUUGAUAAGGUGCCAAUCACUCCCAACCCCUCCCCCUGUUCCUUUUUUUGCCAGGCCACACAGAGGAAGUACAAGAGGUACUUGCAGUGAUUGGAGUGGGCUGAUUAACCUUCACAGCCCUCGGUGCCCCAGAUUUCACCAGCUUACUGAUCUAUAUCUAGGUCAGCUUCAUAAAGCAUCAUUUCUGUUCUAGGGCUUCAUAAAGUAUCAUUUCUGUUUUAGUCUUCAGCAGGGAAGACAGGUGGAGGGGGCUGGCUGAUAAAUGGUGAGACUGCAUGGGUCUCCAAGUGAAGUGUUAGUCUGUGGCUUUUACUUAGUGCCUUAAAACUGUUUGCAAAGACAUGUGAAUUGAAGUAAGCCAUGUGUAAGAGACUGAGAUGUUAAUGGCUUAAACUUUGUAAAUCAUUAAAGGACUUUUUCCCCACCAUGGCAAACUGCAAAGACACAGCUGAAUAUCUGUGAGCACUCAAGCCCACCCCUCCCCAAAUAUGCCCAAUACCUGGAAUUUGGAUUGUUAUGGGAACUGUGAUAAGGUGAAGGGGUACUACUGUCCAGUUGUCCCAGGUCUAGGGAGGAGAAUGUAUCCACAAGUGAUACAGGAAGAGAGACUGGAAUGCUGGUGGUUCAGAUAUUCAGGGGGAAGCUGCAGAAGUGCAGGGGCACAGAGGGUGAGCACAGCCCUCCUCAGGCUCCAGCUGCUGCUGAAUGAGGGAAGUACCAGAACACUCCCAGGUAGCCUGGAGGUGUCUGUCUCUGCUGAUGGGCCACCAUGGGCCACAAUGGACACAGCUGGCCUGGUGUAAUAGGCAGCUGUAUCUCCUUGGAAGGUGUCAAAGACUCCCGAAAUGUCCUGAGAUCCACAACAUUACAUCACUCAGCUGGAACUCCCUCCUCCAGGGCAGGUAUCUGGGCAUUCCUAUUUGAGCCUGAGUGAAUAUAAACCAGAGUUUGUAUUCUGGGGGUUCCCUCACCACCUGACGGAUCCAGUCUGUGACUGUCACUUUGACUAAGGCUGUGACCAUCACUUUGACCAGCAAACAUUGAAAUGGCAGCAGCUGAGCCUCUUUACAAUGCCUGUGGGUGGUGAGAUUUUUCUACUCUUAUAAUUUCUUUCUCUCUCUUAUUCAUUUUCUCAAGUGAUAUUUGCAUGCUUUUAUAUUGUUAUAUUACUGUAGAGAACAGCAAUCAAAAUGCCUCCAUACCUGUUUUCCUGUGCAACCAAACUGUUCUACAAUAAACCCUACAUAUGUAUAGUUACAAGCACUGAUCAUCCAGUUUGUUUCACUCUAAUCCACUCCAAGUGAGUCAGACAUUGAGCUAUACUGAUGGUAUGGGCUAAAAGUCUUCAAAAUUAAUUGCUUUAAGGGGUCAAUGGUCCUUUAAAGGUGUGGGGGCUUGGCUGCUGCUGGGGAAGGCAGAAAGUGAAGAAAAGCAGGUAGAGUCUAAUGACAAAUUGUUUGCUGCUCUGCUAAUCAUGAAAUAAGGAAUUUAAAUUGAAGUCUCAGCAGCUGUGAGGUCAGACCUGGCUGCAAUUUACAACCUCUGCCAUAAGGGUGACAGGGAGGGAGAUGGAGUUGGGUGAAGAAGAAGAAGCAAGCA